Molecule: unclassified non-coding RNA, 160 nt
Filed under: uncultured Mariannaea
Lineage: Eukaryota; Fungi; Ascomycota; Sordariomycetes; Hypocreales; Clavicipitaceae
Description: sequence contains ITS2
Source: RNAcentral
CAACCCUCAAGCUCUGCUUGGCGUUGGGGAUCGGCAACCCGGCUUCGCGCCGCGCCGUCCCUCAAAUACAGUGGCGGUCACGCUGCAGCUUCCUUUGCGUAGUAGCACACCCCGCCCCGGAGAGCAGCGCGGCCACGCCGUAAAACCCCCGACUUCUUGU